CCUACGGGUAGCAGCAGUGAGGAAUAUUGGUCAAUGGGAGGAAUCCUGAACCAGCCAUGCCGCGUGCAGGACGACGGCUCUACGAGUUGUAAACUGCUUUUGUACCGGGGUAAAAUGCUCUACGAGUAGGGUUUUGAAAGUACGGUACGAAUAAGGAUCGGCUAACUCCGUGCCAGCAGCCGCGGUAAUACGGAGGAUCCGAGCGUUAUCCGGAUUCAUUGGGUUUAAAGGGUGCGUAGGUUGUUUUAUAAGUUAGCGGUGAAAUACCGAUGCUCAACAUCGGGGCUGCCGCUGAUACUGUAGGACUAGAGAUCGGAUGCAGCAGGCGGAAUGUGUAGUGUAGCGGUGAAAUGCAUAGAUAUCGCGCAGAACUCCGAUUGCGAAGGCAGCAUGCCGGCUCCACACUGACGCUGAGGCACGAAAGCGUGGGUAUCGAACAGGAUUAGAUACCCGAGUAGUC
This 460-nucleotide ribosomal RNA is filed under the name uncultured bacterium. RNAcentral describes it as "partial 16S ribosomal RNA". It matches the Rfam family "Bacterial small subunit ribosomal RNA", at positions 338 to 795 of the family's 1533-position model. The record is from RNAcentral.